RNAcentral lists this ribosomal RNA (593 nucleotides) under uncultured Glomeromycotina. Its description in RNAcentral is "SSU rRNA". It matches the Rfam family "Eukaryotic small subunit ribosomal RNA", at positions 373 to 970 of the family's 1831-position model. The record is from RNAcentral. Lineage: Eukaryota; Fungi; Glomeromycota.
GGGCACGACACCGGAGAGGGAGCCUGAGAAACGGCUACCACAUCCAAGGAUGGCAGCAGGCGCGCAAAUUACCCAAUCCCGACACGGGGAGGUAGNGACAAUAAAUAACAAUACGGGGUUCUUUAGGAUCUCGUAAUUGGAAUGAGUACAAUUUAAAUCUCUUAACGAGGAACAAUUGGAGGGCAAGUCUGGUGCCAGCAGCCGCGGUAAUUCCAGCUCCAAUAGCGUAUAUUAAAGUUGUUGCAGUUAAAAAGCUCGUAGUUGAAUUUCGGGGUUAGUAGGUUGGUCAUGCCUCUGGUAUGUACUGGUCUCACUGAUUCCUCCUUCCUUAUGAACCGUAAUGCCAUUAAUUUGGUGUUGCGGGGAAUUUGGACUGUUACUUUGAAAAAAUUAGAGUGUUUAAAGCAAGCUAACGCUUGAAUACAUUAGCAUGGAAUAAUGAAAUAGGACGUUCGAUCUUAUUUUGUUGGUUUCUAGGAUUGACGUAAUGAUUAAUAGGGAUAGUUGGGGGCAUUAGUAUUCAAUUGUCAGAGGUGAAAUUCUUGGAUUUAUUGAAGACUAACUACUGCGAAAGCAUUUGCCAAGGAUGUUUU